Molecule: ribosomal RNA, 492 nt
Filed under: uncultured bacterium
Lineage: Bacteria
Description: partial 16S ribosomal RNA
Rfam family: Bacterial small subunit ribosomal RNA
Source: RNAcentral
GAUGAACGCUGGCUACAGGCUUAACACAUGCAAGUCGAGGGGAAACGGCAUUGAGUGCUUGCACUGAAUGUACGUCGACCGGCGCACGGGUGAGUAACGCGUAUCCAACCUUCCCGUUACUGCGGGAUAACCUGCCGAAAGGCAGACUAAUACCGCAUGUUCUUCGAUGACGGCAUCAGAUUCGAAGCAAAGAUCCGUCGGUAACGGAGGGGGAUGCGUCUGAUUAGCUAGUUGGCGGGGCGACGGCCCACCAAGGCGACGAUCAGUAGGGGUUCUGAGAGGAAGGUCCCCCACAUUGGAACUGAGACACGGUCCAAACUCCUACGGGAGGCAGCAGUGAGGAAUAUUGGUCAAUGGGCGGAAGCCUGAACCAGCCAAGUAGCGUGCAGGAUGACGGCCCUACGGGUUGUAAACUGCUUUUAUGCGGGGAUAAAGUGAGGGACGCGUCCCUUUUUGCAGGUACCGCAUGAAUAAGGACCGGCUAAUUCCGUG